Molecule: ribosomal RNA, 446 nt
Filed under: uncultured bacterium
Lineage: Bacteria
Description: partial 16S ribosomal RNA
Rfam family: Bacterial small subunit ribosomal RNA
Source: RNAcentral
CCUACGGGAGGCAGCAGUCGAGAAUCAUUCACAAUGGGGGAAACCCUGAUGGUGCGACGCCGCGUGGGGGAAUGAAGGUCUUCGGAUUGUAAACCCCUGUCAUGUGGGAGCAAAUUAAAAAGAUAGUACCACAAGAGGAAGAGACGGCUAACUCUGUGCCAGCAGCCGCGGUGAUACAGAGGUCUCAAGCGUUGUUCGGAAUUACUGGGCGUAAAGCGUGCGUAGGCUGUUUCGUAAGUCGUGUGUGAAAGGCGCGGGCUCAACCCGCGGACGGCACAUGAUACUGCGAGACUAGAGUAAUGGAGGGGGAACCGGAAUUCUCGGUGUAGCAGUGAAAUGCGUAGAUAUCGAGAGGAACACUCGUGGCGAAGGCGGGUUCCUGGACAUUAACGGACGCUGAGGCUCGAAAGCGUGGGGAGCAAACAGGAUUAGAUACCCCUGUAGUC